RNAcentral lists this ribosomal RNA (508 nucleotides) under uncultured bacterium. RNAcentral's name for it is "partial 16S ribosomal RNA". The record is from RNAcentral.
CACGUAGUUAGCCGGAGCUUUCUUGAAAGGUACCGUCACUCCUAUGUCAUUUCCUACAUAGGUCGUUCUUCCCUAACAACAGAAGUUUACAAUCCAUAGGACCGUCAUCCUUCACGCGGCAUUGCUCGUUCAGGGUUUCCCCCAUUGACGAAUAUUCCUAACUGCUGUCUCCCGUAGGAGUCUGGGCCGUGUCUCAGUCCCAGUGUGGCCGAUCACCCUCUCAGGUCGGCUACGCAUCGUUGUCUUGGUAGGCCAUUACCCCACCAACUAACUAAUACGGCGUGGGCUCAUCUUCAAGCGAAGCUUUAAAGGCUCCUUUUAAUAUUAAAUGACAUAUCAUAAAAUAUAUAAUUCGGCAUUAGCAAUCAUUUCUAAUUGUUAUUCCAAACUCGAAGGUAGAUUACCCACGUAUUACUCACCCUUGCGCCACUAGACGGUAAUCCAAAUCCGAAAUUGUGCAAGCACGCAUUCUUCAUUGGGCCAUCUCGUUCGACUUGCAUGUCUUAGG